CCUACGGGAGGCUGCAGUGGGGAAUCUUGCGCAAUGGGCGAAAGCCUGACGCAGCAACGCCGCGUGUGUGAUGAAGGUCUUCGGAUCGUAAAGCACUGUCGGCAGGAACGAUGGUUUGCAUGGCUAAUACACAUGCAGAUUGACGGUACCUGCAAAGGAAGCACCGGCUAACUCUGUGCCAGCAGCCGCGGUAAUACAGAGGGUGCAAGCGUUGUUCGGAAUCAUUGGGCGUAAAGCGCUCGUAGGCGGCCGACCAAGUCAGGUGUGAAAGCCUG
RNAcentral lists this ribosomal RNA (275 nucleotides) under uncultured bacterium. RNAcentral's name for it is "partial 16S ribosomal RNA". It matches the Rfam family "Bacterial small subunit ribosomal RNA", at positions 338 to 604 of the family's 1533-position model. The record is from RNAcentral.